AACGAACGCUGGCGGCAUGCCUAACACAUGCAAGUCGAACGAGACCUUCGGGUCUAGUGGCGCACGGGUGCGUAACGCGUGGGAACCUGCCCUUAGGUUCGGAAUAACUCCCCGAAAGGGGUGCUAAUACCGGAUAAUGUCUUCGGACCAAAGAUUUAUCGCCUUUGGAUGGGCCCGCGUUGGAUUAGCUAGUUGGUAGGGUAAAAGCCUACCAAGGCGAGGAUCCAUAGCUGGUGGGAGAGAAUGAUCAGCCACACUGGGACUGAGACACGGCCCAGACGCGAGGGGGGGGAGGAGGUGGGGAUAUUGGACAAUGGGCGAAAGCCUGAUCCAGCAAUGCCGCGUAAGUGAUGAAGGCCUUAGGGUUGUAAAGCUCUUUUACCCGAGAUGAUAAUGACAGUACCGGGAGAAUAAGCUCCGGCUAACUCCGCG
RNAcentral lists this ribosomal RNA (432 nucleotides) under uncultured bacterium. RNAcentral's name for it is "partial 16S ribosomal RNA". It matches the Rfam family "Bacterial small subunit ribosomal RNA", at positions 29 to 507 of the family's 1533-position model. The record is from RNAcentral.